CGCGUAGGUGGUUCGUUAAGUUGGAUGUGAAAGCCCCGGCCUCAACCUGGGAACUGCAUUCAAAACUGUACGAGCUAGAGUAUCGGUAGAGGGUGGUGGAAUUUCCUGUGUAGCGGUGAAAUGCGUAGAUAUAGGAAGGAACACCAGUGGCGAAGGCGACCACCUGGACUGAUACUGACACUGAGGUGCGAAAGCGUGGGGAGCACACAGGAUUAGAUACCCUGGU
Molecule: ribosomal RNA, 226 nt
Filed under: Pseudomonas fluorescens
Lineage: Bacteria; Pseudomonadati; Pseudomonadota; Gammaproteobacteria; Pseudomonadales; Pseudomonadaceae
Description: partial 16S ribosomal RNA
Rfam family: Bacterial small subunit ribosomal RNA
Source: RNAcentral